AGAGUUUGAUCAUGGCUCAGGGUAAACGCUGGCGGCGUGCCUAAAACAUGCAAGUCGAACGCGACCCGCAAGGGUCGAGUGGCAGACGGCUGAGUAACGCGUGGGUGACGUACCCGUUGGUGGGGAAUAACUGCCCGAAAGGGUGGCUAAUUCCGCAUACGCCCUCGUUUUCGUUGACGAGGGGAAAGUCUCUCAAAAGACGCCAAUGGAGCGGCCCGCGUUCGAUUAGCUGGUUGGUGGGGUAACGGCCUACCAAGGCGACGAUCGAUAGCUGGUCUCAGAGGAUGAUCAGCCAGACUGGGACUGAGACACGGCCCAGACUCCUACGGGAGGCAGCAGUUAGGAAUUUUGGGCAAUGGGCGCAAGCCUGACCCAGCAACGCCGCGUGGGUGACGAAGGCCUUCGGGUUGUAAAGCCCUUUUCUGGGGGAAGAUAGUGACGGUACCCCAGGAAGAAGCACCGGCUAACUACGUGCCAGCAGCCGCGGUAAUACGUAGGGUGCGAGCGUUGCCCGGAUUUAUUGGGCGUAAAGGGCGCGCAGGCGGCCACGCACGUCCGUUGUGAAAUCGCCCGGCUCAACUGGGCGGGGUCAGCGGAUACGGCGUGGCUGGAGCAAGCUAGGGGGCAAUGGAAUUCCCGGUGUAGUGGUGGAAUGCGUAGAUAUCGGGAGGAACACCAGUGGCGAAGGCGGUUGCCUGGAGCUUUGCUGACGCUGAGGCGCGAAAGCGUGGGGAGCGAUCCGGAUUAGAUACCCUAGUAGUCC
This 763-nucleotide ribosomal RNA is filed under the name uncultured bacterium. RNAcentral's name for it is "bacterial SSU rRNA". It matches the Rfam family "Bacterial small subunit ribosomal RNA", at positions 8 to 796 of the family's 1533-position model. The record is from RNAcentral.